This 615-nucleotide ribosomal RNA is filed under the name Brachybacterium sp. Its description in RNAcentral is "bacterial SSU rRNA". It matches the Rfam family "Bacterial small subunit ribosomal RNA", at positions 385 to 1009 of the family's 1533-position model. The record is from RNAcentral. Lineage: Bacteria; Bacillati; Actinomycetota; Actinomycetes; Micrococcales; Dermabacteraceae.
GAUGCAGCGACGCCGCGUGGGGGAUGACGGCCUUCGGGUUGUAAACCCCUUUCAGUAGGGAAGAAGCGAGAGUGACGGUACCUGCAGAAGAAGCGCCGGCUAACUACGUGCCAGCAGCCGCGGUAAUACGUAGGGCGCAAGCGUUGUCCGGAAUUAUUGGGCGUAAAGAGCUUGUAGGUGGCUUGUCGCGUCUGCCGUGAAAACCCGAGGCUCAACCUCGGGCGUGCGGUGGGUACGGGCAGGCUAGAGUGUGGUAGGGGAGACUGGAACUCCUGGUGUAGCGGUGAAAUGCGCAGAUAUCAGGAAGAACACCGAUGGCGAAGGCAGGUCUCUGGGCCAUUACUGACACUGAGAAGCGAAAGCAUGGGUAGCGAACAGGAUUAGAUACCCUGGUAGUCCAUGCCGUAAACGUUGGGCACUAGGUGUGGGGGACAUUCCACGUUUUCCGCGCCGUAGCUAACGCAUUAAGUGCCCCGCCUGGGGAGUACGGCCGCAAGGCUAAAACUCAAAGGAAUUGACGGGGGCCCGCACAAGCGGCGGAGCAUGCUGAUUAAUUCGAUGCAACGCGAAGAACCUUACCAAGGCUUGACAUGCACUGGACGGCUGCAGAGAUGU